AGAGUUUGAUCAUGGCUCAGAUUGAACGCUGGCGGCAUGCCUUACACAUGCAAGUCGAACGGCAGCACGGGUGCUUGCACCUGGUGGCGAGUGGCGAACGGGUGAGUAAUACAUCGGAACGUACCUUAUCGUGGGGGAUAACGCAGCGAAAGCUGUGCUAAUACCGCAUACGCCCUGAGGGGGAAAGCGGGGGAUCGAAAGACCUCGCGCGAUUAGAGCGGCCGAUGCCUGAUUAGCUUGUUGGUGGGGUAAAAGCCCACCAAGGCGACGAUCAGUAGCUGGUCUGAGAGGACGAUCAGCCACACUGGGACUGAGACACGGCCCAGACUCCUACGGGAGGCAGCAGUGGGGAAUUUUGGACAAUGGGGGAAACCCUGAUCCAGCAAUGCCGCGUGAGUGAAGAAGGCCUUCGGGUUGUAAAGCUCUUUUGUCAGGGAAGAAACACCGGCUCUAACACAGUCCGGGAAUGACGGUACCUGAAGAAUAAGCACCGGCUAACUACGUGCCAGCAGCCCGCGGUAAUACGUAGGGUGCGAGCGUUACUCGGAAUUACUGGGCGUAAAGCGUGCGCAGGCGGUUAUACAAGACAGGCGUGAAAUCCCCGGGCUUAUCCUGGGAAUGGCGCCUGUGACUGUAUAGCUAGAGUGUGUCGGAGGGGGGUAGAAUUCCACGUGUAGCAGUGAAAUGCGUAGAUAUGUGGAGGAAUACCAAUGGCGAAGGCAGCCCCCUGGGAUAACACUGACGCUCAUGC
This 751-nucleotide ribosomal RNA is filed under the name uncultured bacterium FukuS183. RNAcentral's name for it is "bacterial SSU rRNA". It matches the Rfam family "Bacterial small subunit ribosomal RNA", at positions 8 to 752 of the family's 1533-position model. Lineage: Bacteria; Pseudomonadati; Pseudomonadota; Betaproteobacteria. The record is from RNAcentral.